UGAGGAAGAGUCUGAGAUAAGGUAGUUCAUCAACAAUUGCACCUACACCUCCGUUUUUACUUCCUCUUGAGAGGGCAUCGUUAUACUCUUCCAAUGUGCUAUAACUUCUGAACUUGGUGCUGUCAAAUUUCAUGCUCUUCAAGACGCCUCUGACAAAGGAACCUUUUUGGUACCCAACAUAUUCUCCACGCUUGAUGAGAUCAUUGAGGUCUGUUAUUGUAGGUUGAAUCUUUUGUGCUGUCAACAUAGAUGUUAAACUGGCUGUAUAACUUGAUGUCAGUACCAGAACCACGAAAACCCACACGAUCAGCACAAAUCUUGUAAAGUUACUUGUUACUCUCUCUUCUGAAACAACCAACCACAUAUAUAUGAUUUGUUGAGAAACUAGCUAGGAUAAAUAUAAAGCUUUCAUAAAUAAUUUACUUUGAGUUAGAGGCUUACUAUGAGCAAAAACGAGAGUUGAGAAGGAAAACCAGAAUAUCAUCCCAACUUGCUCUCGUUUAGGUCCUCGAAACUCUUUGUUUACACGAUGUUCGAGCACCCAAACCACAAAACCAAUGAAAACGAAGAAUGCUCCUGUUGUUACCCAAAGCUCGCUCUUUAGUGGUUUCACGAAAAUCCAAGCAUUCUUCCUGUCAUCAUCCUUUACUGGCACAACUGCAGAAAAACCUGACUCUGUAAAAGGUAAUGUGAAAUCCACAUACUUGGAUCGGUUUGCUGAAAUGGUUAUGUCACCUAUAAUUGCAUCAAAUUUCUGGUUAAAGUAAACAAUGAUCAUUUCAGUACUUAUGGUUGGUCUUCCUCUGCCAAAACAAAAGCGAAAUAAGAAAAUCUAGAGGGAGCAUGGAUGUAAUGUAAGGCAUUCAGCCAAAGGAGGCUAAUUUGAACAAGGAUUAGAUACUCUAUUACCUUAGAAAAUAGCUUAUAAGCAUGAUCAUCAAAGUCUGGAGACGUGGGGCUAUCUGGUAUUUGAAAUGGGAUGAAUUCGUAAGGGAGAGCAUAAGGCAAGGAUUGGAUGACUUCUUUGAAGACAUCUGCACAGAAACCAGUUACAGUUACUUCCUGUGUUUUUGAAUCUAUUUCCACUUUAAGGAAUUGCUCCAGCCCUUCUUUGUCAGGAACUCCAACCCUUAACUUCUUGCCACUUGUGGGUAUUUCCCAGCCUUUUGGAACAAUAGUAGAUUCACCUGGCCAAAAAAUGCCUCCUAGUUGCUUAUCAUUACACUUAGCUGCUGUUUUACCAUUGGUUUUCAGUUUACACGAAAUUCCAUCCUUUUCUGUCCAGAAUCCAAUGUUUCUCUCUGCUUUCCCAAUUAUAUUCACAAUCUGAUAUGGGGAAGGCUGCAAUUCUCCAUCAACAAUGCGGAAAUCACCACUUAGACCUGUUUUUAGCGCUGUGUUUUGCAUAGAGUGAAGGAGCAAAGAUCCCAAUUCUGAGGUUCCAAGUGCAUCCAAGUCCGUUAAGUACUCUCUAUUAUCUGCUUUUUUGAAUUUUGGGAUGGCAGUGCCAACCACUUUCUCUACUGCUUUUGCUAAUGCUGUGAUGCCAUCAUAUGCCCAUAGCCCAAAAACAUUGAGUUCUACUAUGUCUAUGUCUGGAUACUCUUGACGGAAUCUCCUCCUCCACCUCUUGGUGUAAUUGAUAAGCUCAUUUGUUCGUGGAACAUAUGGCUUUACACCAAGAACACCUUGCAUUGAUGACUCAAUCACUGAAGUAUCUACCGAGUCAAGAAGACUCGUUAGCACAUCUGUGAUGAUCCAUGCAUAUCCAUCGCUCAUCAUCCCGGCUUUGUUUGCCUUGAGGAAAAGGCGUUUGGCAAGUAAUGGUCUCAAGUGCACAAUGAAGACCCUGGUCUGCAUUGUUUUCAACUUGUAUAGCUCACUGAGGAUUUGAUCAUCAUUGGCUGACGGAGAAAUAACAGUUCUAUAGGAGACUGAAGUGCCGAUUUCCAGCAAGGCAUCAGUCAAAUGUGGAACUAUCCCAGUUCCAAAGGGGCUAUCCUCAUAGAUGACUACAACCUCCUUCCAAUCAAAGUUCUUUACAAUUGCUGCAAUGGCCAUAGUCUGGCUGGAAGAAGGAAGUGCCCCUCUGAUGAAAAAGGGAUUUUCCUUAACUGUAAGUAAAGGACUUGUUGCUGGAGAAAUGAUAGGGACUUUUACUCUGUUCCCUAAGUCAAUCACAAAAUCAGUUUGUGUAGACAUUUGUGGCCCAAAGAUAGCUUGUACUUGGACAUCCUUUAGCAAGUAUAUGGCUGCACAUACACAAUCAGACUGUAAGAAAUUGAUAGGGCAUGAAUAACUAACUACCAGAGUAUGUCUGAUAGCUUGUUUGUUCAAACUUCUGGGAAGCCAAAAGUACUUAUUUUAGUGACUCGUGAAGCAAAGAAAAUAAGAUAUGCAUGCUAGGUUAAGAGAAGUAUAUCAAGGAGCUGAAUUUACCAGCGGAUGCUGCUUCAACAUCAUCUUUCUUGGAAUCCCUCAAGUGAGGGAUUAUCCUAAUGGCACUGUGACUAGCGGUGGCAUGGUAAUCAUCAAGUGCUAGUAAGAUAGAUAUGUGCAUUACUUUUCCCACAUCUGUUUCCAGAUCAAGAAUUAUGCCCACAUCUACUUUUGCAACACUAUUUUUAUUAUCUUCACCUUUUAUUGGCAUCAUAUGGUGGUAAAAGCUAAUGAUGGACACAAAUUGAAUCAAAACAAUUAGGAAGUGGCAUUUUGAACUUCUCAUUUUGAGAGUUGUGCUUGUGCAAGUAACCAACUUACAAUGAUAUUCUCUAAAGUUUUUCAGAAUCAGUGAAUUUAUAGAUUUCAGAAUCAGUAAAGAGCUUGACUAAUAUGAGUUCAUACUCCAUACCAUAAUUGGGGGCAAAAGUCCAUCCCGUCUUCCAUUAUGCUUUUAGUAUUCGUGGUCAAGAAGUAAACGAUAAAUACUGCAUCGAUGUUGAUUCAUUUGCAUAAGGAAGUUGCUUAGUAAGUUGCCAAUAUGUUGAAAAGAAAAUAUAUGAGGCUUAAGUCGACACCUUAAUGUUGUCCACGUAAUUUAUAUUGACAUUUCAAGAGACCGUUUUUUCUGUUAGACACUCCAAUAUUAACAAAUAUGAUCUAUUAAAUACAUCAUGCAACAUGGUGUAGAAAGUGAUAGGCACUAGUCACCCCGGCCCGAAUAAGCUGCGUGAUUCUAAUGAAUCCCAUUAGGGUUUAAAGUGGGCUUCAAACACUGGAUGUGAAAUAAAAAAAAGGUUAUAUACACUAGCCACAACUUAAAAAAUGGAUAGAUAUUGCUACAUCUUCUUCCUUUUUUUAAAAUUGGAAGUAGUGACGGAGCCAAAUUUUUUACAAAGGUGUCCAAAAAUAGUACAACAAAAACUCUUUCCAAAAAGUGGAAAAACAUUUGUUGCUAAUGGGAUUCAAACACACCAGACUGCCUCAUUACAAGCGUCUAAACCACUCGGUUACAAUAGCUUGUUGUGUUAAGGGUGUCCAAAAUAUGUUAUUUAAUCAUUUUACUUGUAUAUACAACAUAUUUUUUCGAUGAGGAGUGUCCAAUUGGACACCCUGACAGCAAUGUAGCUACGCCACAGACUGCAAGACACUAAUACUUAUAUAAAACAAUAUAUAAAUUUUCUCAUAACUUAUGUAUAUAUUAGUUAUGCAAAAAUCUGCAUAAGUCAAUCCAACAUUGUAUUCAUUUUAUACAUGAAUAACUUAUUUUCUAUCUACAUGUCAAACAUCAUAUAAGUUAUACAAGAAUUUAUACAUGAGUAAUUUAUUUUUUUAUCGAGAACAUCCUAAGUGCAUAAGGCAAUAUGAUGUUUAUCUUUGUUUUCUCUUUUAGGCAAAUGAUGGAGCCUCAUUAAGUGAGUAUAUGAUUCAUUUAUAAGAUUUCACGUAAAUUCAUGUUUGCAUAUAGGAGUUUCUUAUAUCUAUCAUGAGAACUUUAUAUAUUUAAAUACACUUUUAUAUAAUUUUACGCAUAUGUAAACUAAAUUUGAAAUUAAAACAAUGUAAUAUUUAUAUUCAACUCAAUAAUAAUGUAUUUAGAAUCUAUCUUCCAAAGCUAUAAUAAAAAUGAAAUUUGUAAUUUUGAAAAUAAAAUAAAUUAUUUAUUAAUACAAUUUUUGUGAUACAACACUUUCCAUGAAAUAUAAUGUUGGACCAAAACAACGCUGCUAGUCUGUUACCGUAGUAUUGGUUUACGCUGUCCAAAAUAAAAAUCUGUACUAACUGCAUGCAUGUGAAGAAAUAUUCAAUAAAUAUAUUGGAUUCCCACUUGUUCCCAUCUUUUUCCAUAACACUUCCAGUCCCACUUGAUGAGGUGAAGCUAAAAGUCUGAAUACGGAUUUGAUCGAAUAAUUAUUAAUUAAACGAUAAUACUUUAUCUAGUUUAUAUCACGUGAAUUAUUGAAAUUUUUCCAUACACCCCAUGAAAUAUAAUUCCUGCCCCGCAAUAUUUAGAGCAAUAAAAAUUUAAGUUUCAUAAGAUUAGUCAUAUAUUAAAAAGAAGAAAAGUAUUUACCUUAGUCAUCGAAAUAAUGCCUAUUUGGUCUAAUAAUAGAUAUUACUAGAAAAAACCAAUGAAAAAAAAUUCUAAAAGAAAAAAAAGAGUGUAAUACUUCCUCCGUUCUGUUUUACUUGUCAAAUUUGACUUGACAUACCUAUUAAAAAAAGAGAAACUUUCACAUAUAGCAAACAAAAAAAUCAUAUUUGUAUGCUAUAGCAAAGUUUGCAUAAUUGCGCUCCAUAGCAAACAUAUAUAUGUAUAAUUCGCUAUACAUAUAUACAAAAAGAAGCAAUUGUAUAAUUCGUUGGCUCCUCUUCAGAAUUGUAUAAUUUCGCUGGCAGGCCAUUUGUAUAAAUUGUUGUUAGCCUCUCGUUUGUAUAAAUCGUUGACAAACAUAAAUUAUACAUUAUACAAGCAUAAAACUGGGCAGGGGAAUAUUUUUAUUGUAUAAUUAUAAGUGUAUAGGACGAAUAUAUAUGUAUUUGCAUGUGUAUAUACAAUUUUCUCUCGCUUUAUACAAACAGAAACGCAAUUUAUACACUUCUGUUGUAUAAAGCGAGAGAGGCGAGCACAGAGAGAGUGAGCGAGAGAGGAGAGUGGCGAGCGAGAGUUUGAGGGAGAGAGGCGCUGGCAAACAGUUUGCUACAGGACACAAUUAAAUCAAAGUGUGAUUAUACCAUUUAAUUUGAAUUAAUAGUUUGCCAUUAUGUACAAUUUUCCCUUCAUUAAAUAAAAGAGGCCCAUGGUCUCACAUGGGGGUGUUCACGGUUUGGAUAAAAAUCGAUUCAAACCGAAAAACCAAACCAAAUCGAUAAAAUAAAACCAAUUUUAUUUGGGUUUGGUUUGGUUUGGUUUUAGAUUUUUGAAAACUGAUAGUAUUUGGUUUGAUUAUGGUUUUAUUUGAAAAAAACCGAAGAAAUAACCAUACUUAAUAUAUUAUUUUUAUAAACAAUUUUAAAGAUCUUAUACAUAUUUUCAUUAAAAUUUCUUUAGUGUAUAGGACGAAUAUAUAUGUAUUUGCAUGUGUAUAUACAAUUUUCUCUCGCUUUAUACAAACAGAAACGCAAUUUAUACACUUCUGUGUAUAAAACGAGAGAGGCGAGCACAGAGAGAGUGAGCGAGAGAGGAGAGUGGCGAGCGAGAGUUUGAAGGAGAGAGGCGCUGGCAAACAGUUUGCUACAGGACACAAUUAAAUCAAAGUGUGAUUAUACCAUUUAAUUUGAAUUAAUAGUUUGCCAUUAUGUACAAUUUUCCCUUAAAAAAACAAAGAUUAGUAUAAUGAGUUUACUAUUUUAUCCUUAUUGAUAGAUAGAGUCUUAAACAUAUUUACUCACUACAUUUUCAAAACAUUAACUCAAUGUUAAAAAAAAAAAUAUAGGGUAUAAUAAGAAGAAACCAUUUGUCCUUUUUUGAUUUAUUAAAAAUGGCAAGUAAAAAAGGAAAUCAAAUUAGGAAGUACUCUCCCUGUCUCUAUUUACUUGUCCAUUUUUUAUUUGACACUUAUUAAGAAAAUUAUAAUUAACCUAAUGAGUUUACCAUCGUACCCCUAUUAAUGGAUAGAAUUUCAAAAUUGAUUUAGUUCUACUUUUUCAAAAACAUUAACUAUCUAACUAAAUUGUGGAUAUAAUAGGUAAAAAAUAUUAUCUUUUCUUGAUUUGUCAAAAAAUAACAAGUAUAAAAAAACAAGUAAAAAAUCAAAAUUGAACUAGUAAAAAAGGAAGAAUGAGUAUUUGAUGAGUAAAUAGGGACGGAGGAGUAAUACACAUUGUUAGGUGCGGAAAGCAGAGAAUCCAGAAUUAGAUGCAAACAAUGGAAUAACAGUUGUGCUGAGGGCACAGGACAGCCACAUAUUUCACUACAGAUAAGAGGAGAUAAUAAUGUUUCUCUUCUGAAAUACGGUACAUUUUUUUUUUCUUUCUUCCACAAUUUUAAAAUAACACAAUCUGAUCCUUUAAAUGCUAAUUCAAGGUGCAACAAUUUUCUCUUGGUUUGUAUAUGUAUAUAUAUUUGGCAGUUAGAGUUUAACCUAAAUGAUCCUCUCUUGUUUCAUGUUUUGUGGUCUACUAUCUUUAAUUUCCUCUUUGUAAUCGACAUUGUGUGUGGUUUAUUUUAUCUCAAAACUAAACAUAAUGCCUGUCAUAGCUGCAGAAAUGUUUGUAUGGUUGUUCCUAUUCCUUUGAAAUCUUUCAUUUGCCACCUGCAAAAAACCUUUAGGAAAAUAGAGGCAAAUGCUUCCUUAUUUACUUGGGUUCAACUUGUGAACCACUAAUUUCGACUUAAUAAUAACAUAACCAGUGUAACCCCACUGGGAUGAGGUCGGGAGAGGGUGGUGUGAGAAACUGUUUCCCAUAUACUUUUUAUAAAAAGUCAAGUAUAUAAAGCAAAUACAAUAAUUUCAACACGGAACGUUAAUAUAAGUGGAAGGCUAGUAGAAUUUCAAUGAUUCUGACGGUUCCGUCAGCUCCAGAUACUUAACUCAUAAUUUCAGAAGUGCAAUGAAUUCAAUCUUAUGAACUUAAAUGUUGAACCCAUCAUAUCUAAAUUCUAGAGCCAGCUCUUGAUACAAAUAGAUGAAACAUAGAUAUGCUCUUUAACUUGCCUCAACUCACAUUUAUGUCCUCCAACUUUGGGGGUACACAAAUAGACACUUAAACUUGUAAAAAGUUGAACAAAUAACACAAACGUCUUAUGUGGCAUCUUACAUGCAAUUUGCGUCAUACAUGGUGGUCCUAUGUGGAUAAUGCCACGUAGGACUCAUGUGUCUACUUGUUCAACUUUAUACAAUUAAGUGUCUACUUGUGCAUACCCAAAAUUGGAGAGCAUAAAUGUAAAAUGUGACCAAGUUAAAUGCAUAUUUAAGUACUAUGCCAUACAAAUAUUAUGGCCAAGAGAGACGGUUUUAAUGUCUUCUGGUCAAACUGUAAAGUUAGCUCAUCUCUGUACAAUCUCUUGUAGGGCUCAAUUCAAUCUCUCUUCAGUUUUCAUGAACUGGAGUUCCAGGUUCUGUUGUAGAGAACAACACUUCAGGUGCAGGGGAUGCUCCUAGGCAGUCAGAAAUUCUGAUGUCUAGGCUUUGAAAAGGAAGGUUGGGCAAUACUUCAGGGAAAGUUUCACUUGCUGCGAACAGUGUAGCUGUUUGUCUAACAUUGCCUUCAAAUGGAUUUUCUGACUUAACAUUAGAGUUGUCUUUCUCUUCACCAAAAACUUUUGCUAUUGCAGAAAACUUUUUCCAUAUUGAAUCAUCAGUGACUAAGAUUUCUCUAUUUUGAUAAAGAAAGUUGAGGAAGAAUAGGAGAAGAGCAGAACCUGCUGAUACACCAGCUAUGAGGAAAAGUCCCUUAAAACUGUCUAGCGCGAGGCUAUCAGAUGUUAUAUCCAUUAUAUCUUUCUGUGGACAAUCUGUUUCAUUCCCAAACCAUUUCUGAAUUAUGUUAUUCAUAUCUCCCUCCAUCACCUUCAAGACUGCUCUUGCUACAUCUGGUACCAAAGGUGAUCCUUUUGGAAAUGCCUGUAAGAAGUUGUGUGAUAAUAAAAGAUUAGAUUGAGUGAACUACCGUGGAUAGUAUAAUUUCAAUUAUGGAACAUUUCCAGGCGCAGAGAGAAUCUUACAAAUCCAAAACCAGCAGUCUUGUAAGUCAGACCAACCAUAGUAUACUUCCUGCAGUAUCUAUUGAGGAAGAGUCUGAGAUAAGGUAGUUCAUCAACAAUUGCACCUACACCUCCAUUUUUACUACCCCUUGAGAGUGCAUCAUUAUACUCUUCCAAGGUGCUAUAACUCCUAAAUUUGGAGCUGUCAAAUUGCAUGCCCUUCAAGACAUCUUUGACAAAGGAACCUUUUUGGUACCCUACAUAUUCUCCAUUCUUGAUGAGAUCAUUGAGGUCUGUUACAGUAGGUUGAAGCUUUUGUGCUGUUAACAUAGAUGUUAAGCUGGCUGUAUAACUUGAUGUCAGCACCAGAACCACGAAAACCCACACAAUCAGCACAAAUCUUGUUAAGUUACUUGUUACCCUCUCUCCUGCAAUAACCAGCCAUAUAUGAUUUGUUGAGAAAUUCUAAAGUUCUCGUCUAUAAUUUGCUUUGAGUUAGAGACUUACUAUGAGCAAAAACGAGAGUUGAGAAGGAAAACCAUAAUAUCAUCCCAACUUGCUUGCAUUUGGGUCCUCGAAACUCUUCGUUUACACGAUGCUCCAGUACCCACACAACAAAACCAAUGAAAACAAAGAAUGCUCCAGUUGUCAUCCAAAGCUCUCUCUUUAGAGGUUUCACGAAAAUCCAAGCACUCUUCCUGUCAUCAUCCUUUAUUGGCACAACUGCAGAAAUACCCGACUCUAUAAAAGGUAAUGUGAAAUCCACAUACUUGGAUCGGUUCGCUGAAAUGGUCACAUCACCUAUAACUGCAUCAUGUUUCUGGUUUAAGUAAACAAUGGUUGGUUCAGUGCUUUUGCCAAAGAAAAAGCAAAAUAAGAAAAUCCAAAUGGAGCAUGUGGGUAAGGUAUUCCGCCAAAGAGGGUAAUUCAAACAAGGAUUAGAUAUUACCUUAAAAAAGAGCUUAUAAGCAAGAUCAUCAUAUCCUGGAGAAUUGGGGCUACGUGUUAUUGGAACUGGAACAAAUUCGUAAGGGACAGCAUAAGGCAAAGAUUGGAUGACUUCUUUGAAGACAUCUGCACAGAAACCAGUUGCAGUAACUGCUUGUGUUUUUGAAUCUCUUUCCACUUAAAUGAAUUCCUGCAGCCCUCCUUUGAUAGGAACUCCAACCCUUAGCUUCUUCCCACUUGUGGGUAUUUCCCAGCCUCUCGGAGAAAUAGUAGAUUCACCGGGCCAAAUGAUGGCUCCUAGUUGCUUAUUAUUACUCUUAGCUGUUUUACCGUCUAUCUUCAGUUUAUAUGAAAUUCCAUCCUUCUCUGUCCAGAAUCCAAUGCUUCUCUGUCCUGUCCCAACUAUAUUCACAAUUUGAUAUGGAGAUGGAUGCAAUUCUCCAUUGAUGAGACGGAAUUCACCACUUAGUGCUGUUUUUAGCACUGUGUUUUGCAUAGAGUCAAGGAGCAGAGAUCCCAAUUCUGAGGUUCCAAGUGCAUCUAGGUCCGUUAAGUUCUCUCUAGUGUCCGGUUUCUUGAAUUUUGGGAUAGCAGUGCUGCCCAUUUCCACUACUGCUUUUGCUAACGCGGUGAUGCUAUCAUAUGCCCAUAGCCCAAAAACAUUGAGUUCAACUGGAUCCAUGUCUGGAUACACUUGACGAAAUCUCUUUCUCCAUCUCUUGGUGAACAUGUCAAGCUCAUUUGAUCUUGGAACAUAAGAUUUUACACCCAGAACACCUUGCAUUGAUGACUCAAUUACUGAAGGAUCUACCAGGUCCAGAAGACUUGUUAGCACAUCUGUGAUUAUCCAUGCAUAUCCACUGCUCAUCAUCCCGGCUUCUUUGGCCUUGAGGAAAAGGCGGGAGGCAAGAGAUGAUUCUAAGUGUACGAUGAACACCCUGGUCUGCAUUGUAUUCAACUUGUAUAGCUCCCUGAAGAUCUGAUCAUCACUGGCUGAAGGAGAAAUACCACUUCUAUAGGAGACUAAACUGUUGUUUUCCAGCAAGGCAUCUGUCAAAUGUGGAAGCAUCCCGCUUCCAUAGGGGCUAUCCUCAUAGAUUACUACAACGUCCCUCCAAUUAUAGUUUUUAACAAUUGCCGCUAUGGCUUUAGUCUGGCUGGAAGAAGGAAGUGCUCCUCUGAUGAAGAAGGGAUUUUCCUUGACUGAAAGUGAAGGACUAGUUGCUGGAGAAAUGAUAGGGACUUUUACUCGGUUCCCUAAGUCAAUCACAAAAUCAGUUUGUGUAGACAUUUGUGGCCCAACGAUGGCUUGUACUUGAACAUCCUUUAGCAAGUAUAUGGCUGCACAUACACAAUCAGACUAUAAGGAAUUGUCUGAACAGAAAACCAAAGGGAAAAAAGAAGAAAAGAGAAAAAGAUAUGCUAGCUUAACAGAAGUAAAUCAUGGAGCUGAAUUAAUUUACCUGCAGAUGCUGCUUCAACAUCAUCUUUCUUGGAAUCCCUCAAGUGAGGGACUAUCCUAAUAGCUCUGGGACUAGUGGUGGCAUGGUAAUCUUCAAGAGCUAGUAAGAUAGAUAUGUGCAUUACUUUUGCCACAACUGUUUCCAUAUAAGAACUAUACCCACAUCCACCUUUACAACACUAGUUUCAUCUUCACCUCUUAUUGGAAUUACAUAGUGGCAAAAGCUAAUAAUGGAGACAAGUUGAAUGAAGAGAAUUAGGCAGUAGUAUCUUUGAUUUUGCAUUUGAAAAACUCUGGUAGCAAGUAGUUUGAGAGUUGGGAAAGAAGCAAUUCUGCUUGUGCAAGUAAUUAACCACUUUCUAGAGAUGUGUCUAAAAAUCUCUUAACUGUGUGGCUCUAGAUAUAUGGUUUCAGAAUCUGGGAACUUCAUAUACUUGGACCAGUAAAUACCUUGCAAAACUAUAAUAAGGCAAUGUAGAAUGAAAAGUCAAAGAUAAAGUUUCCAAAGAAUAAUUGAGAGAGGACUUUUCAUACAUUCUUAACUAGUAAGUUCCCUCCUCAAUUUGACCCAAUAAAAAUCUGACAAAACGAACGCAGUGACAAAAACUCAUUUGGUUGACCUUGGAAUGGUGCUUAUUUUACAUGGUUCCUGUUUAUACUUGGUCAUUAGUAACUUGCUUGGACACCAAAUAAUGAAACAAUACCCACCAUUGGAUCGAGUGGCCGAUCUAGGAUUUUCAUUCAUGGGGAUUUGUAAAUAAAAAUGUAAAAAGUAUUAACUUCCUUGGACACUCAAUAAUGAAACAACCACCACCAUUGGCUCUAGUGGCAUGCUGAUUCAGGAUUUUCACUCUGAGAGUUCCGAAAAAUAAAAAUGUAAAAGAUAAUGCAGUCCUUGAGAAUUGAACCUUGGACAUUGGGGUGUAUUUUGAAUUUCCUGAAUUGCAGAGCUAACCUUUUGCAUGUUAUUUAGGGGAUUCACAAUUUAUAUGUACAUCAACAUAGAAAAUAUAUCCUAUAUAUACAUUUUAAUUUUUUGUUGAAGGGGUUUGGGUGAACACUCUCCGGCUCUUGAUUGGCUCAUUGACACUGUUAUUGUUAGUGCAAGAAGAAACUGCUAGGGAAGUUGCCUAUGAUAUAUGUUGAAGCAGAUGGGAUAUAAGAUUCUGAUUUGAUGGGUUCAAUAUUUAGGUUCUUACCAUUGAGCCCAUUACACUUUGAAAUUAUGGGUUCAUGUUCUAUUAUUUAUUAAAAUUUUAGUGAUUUUUCACAUUAUACUUUUAUGAUCCGUGUCGAAAAUGCAAAUCUUAUACUUAAAUUCGCCAUCCGCCCUGUGUGACUGAACAUAUUACUGUUUGUCUUCCAUGUAGCAGUGAUCCUAAAACCUUUCCUUAUUUAUGAUCUGUAACUAUGUUCUUAUCCUCUAGGCUAGUUCUAGCACCUGCAUUAUAAAUUCACUACUACUAGAUCUUUCUUUCUUAUUUAAUUUGGGCUUUGCAGAUUGCUUUUUCUUAUCAAAAAAUUGCACAAAUCUCUCAUGUGGUUAUUCACAUAUAACCCCCAUUAUUUCAUAUUUUAUAUAAGAAUUAUGUAAUCAAAAAAUAAUUUGGCAUCUUAUGUGUUGAUUUUAUUGUUUUUGUUCUAUUAUUGUAACAUAACAAAACUACCUCAAUUGAAUUUCUUGAAAACGGAUGCAUGUAUUGAAUUCUUUCAUGCCACACAUAUAACUUCGUUUAAUUAUAUUCCAAACAUAAGUACAACAACAACAACAUAAGUAGUGAUGAAAAAAACAAAGUGAACAUAAAAUUGCUAGAAAAACAACUAAGAAAAAGUAAGGGUUGAAUCCAUCUAAUGGAAUCCUGGAGGCCACCUCUUGAUGCUAAUAUUAUGGCCAAGAGUGACAAAGAAAUAAUGUAAUCUGAUUUAACUAACCCUAAAGCUAGCUCAUCUCUGUACAAUCUCUUGUAGGGCCCUAUUCAGGUGUGUCACAAUUAUGUUAGCAGCUAUCUGUGUCAUCUUUCUUCAAUCGUGCCUGACAUUGUUUCAUGAACUGGGGUUCCAGUUUCUGUUGUAGAGAACCCUUCAGAAGCAGGGGAUUCUCCUAGGCCAUCGGAGAUUCCGAUUUCUGGGCUUUGCAAAGGAAGGUUGGGCGAUAAUUCAAUAGAAGCAUCACUUUCUGCAAACACUGUAGCCGUUAGGCUUUCAUUCCCUUCAGAUGGCUUUUUUGACAUAGAAUUAGAGUCGUCUCUCUUUAAAUCAAAGACUUUUUGCUAUUGCACAAAGCUUUUUUCCUAUUGAAUCAUCAGUGGCUAAGAUUUCUCUAUUCUGAUAAAGGAAGAUGACGAAGAAUACGAGAAGAGCGGAGCCUGCUGAUACACCAGCUAUGAGGAAAAGGCCCUUAAAACUAUCAAGCGUGAGGCUAGAUGCUGUAGCCAUUCCAUCUGGCUUUGGACAAUCUGUUUCGUUCCCAAACCAUUUCUGAAUUAUGUUAUUCAUAGUCUCUCCCUCUAUCACCUUCAAGACUGCUCUUGAGACGUCAGGUACCAAAGGAGAUCCUUUUGGAAAUGCCUGCAACAAGUUGUGGGAAAAUUAAAGAUUAGAUCAUUGAGUAAACCACUAACCACUCUAAAUAAAUGUCAACACUUUCUGAAACAUCAGUUAAGUACAACAAUCUUACAAAUCCAAAGCCGGCAGCCUUGUAUGUCGGACCAACCAUAAUAUACUUCCUGCAGUAUUUGUUCAGCAAGAGUCUGAGAUAAGGUAGUUCAUCAACAAUUGCACCAACACCUCCAUUUUUACUACCUCUUGAGAGUGCAUCAUUAUACUCUUCCAAUGUGCUAUAACUCCUAAAUUUGGAGCUGUCAAAUUUCAUGCGUGUCAAGACAUCUUUGACAAAGGAACCUUUUUGGUACCCUACAUAUUCUCCAUUCUUGAUGAGAUCAUUGAGGUCUGUUAUAGUAGGUUGAAGCUGUUGCACUGUUAACAUAGAUGUUAAGCUGGCUGUAUAGCUUGAUGUCAGCACCAGAACCACGAAAACCCACACAAUCAGCACAAAUCUUGAUAAGUUACUUGUUAUCUUCUCUUCUG
This 13583-nucleotide long non-coding RNA is filed under the name Solanum tuberosum (potato). RNAcentral's name for it is "long non-coding RNA (STUB_LNC006714)". Lineage: Eukaryota; Viridiplantae; Streptophyta; Magnoliopsida; Solanales; Solanaceae. The record is from RNAcentral.